UCCUGCCAAGAGCAUAACAACAGUCUGCCUGUCUGCUUCACAGAAAUGUUACACUAACUCUUUCCAUAUUUCUUCUCACGCAUUAUCAGAUACCGUCACCUUGUAAUAUUUUCUGCAGCGCUGUUUUCACUUUAACAGUUCUCCGAUUGCAGACUAUGGCAUCACUUGAGACAAAUGGUGUACUAAAAUCACGCCCUUCUUGCUAAUUCCCGAAGAGUAUUUGGCUUUAUGGUUAGCCCAAUGCUAACUUAGCAACAUCAAACUGUUAAAUGCCAGUAUUCCUAACUACAUACAGCUGAAAAAGCCUUGCAAUGAGCAUUUUCGGCAUCUAAGGCUUUAUGGAAAAUCAAUUAUCCUACUAAUUUUACACAAACCGAAUCAGGUCGCUCUGGACGAGCGUAAACUGACCCGAUGUCACACGUUACAACGGUAAGCAACGGCAGUUAGGUUCUUGGAGACAGAUGUUUCACUUUCCACUAGACAGAAGGCAGGAGGCAGUUCGCGCAGAUCACAAACAAGCACAUGAUGUGAAAACAAGUCUGUAAAUAGCAGCUUGGCUGAGAACAUUUCACAUCCCAGAGGGCUUGAGUUACAGCACUGGCUUUUAGAGAUGGUAAUAACAGACAUUUUCGUCCCCGUGACAUGCUGGGAGAUCUUUGGAUCUGACGUCUCAUCUGAAGCCAGGCCGCACGCCUGUCAGCAUAAAUCUCUAAUUAUGAUCGAAAGCAUUCCCGCUUUUCAAAACAAGCUCUGUUUACAACAAGCUAGAUGAAGGAGAUCUCAUGAUCGCUUACUGCCAGGUUGAUGAUCGGGAAACAGAACAUUGAUGUUUUACGCCAUUAUCAGCUGACAGCCAUCAAUGACACGCUGAAAAUGGCCGUUCAAAGACAAGAGUGCUUUUUCACAUCUCAUGAGCCAGAUUACCCGGCAGGCAAACGAAAGGAGGGAGGCGUAGCGCUUUCUGUUCGCUGGUAACCCAACGUAACCCAGGUGACAAAAUCUGCAUAGUGACCACAUGAAAACAGGUGAAGCUGUUACCAAGCAUUUCUGUUUUGGUUACUGGAGUACAAAGAAUUAGCAUGAUUGAUUGUGAGAUCUUCUUUAUUCGUUCCUUCUCCUCCCCUGGUCUCUAUAUAGACGCUGUGGGUAUCUGCGAGUGAAAUGUCAGCUUGUUUUGAAAGCCGAUGCUUUCACCCUCUGACAUUCAAACUCCUCCACCCCCCCCACCACCACCUCGUCGCUGAUUAUACGCUCUGGAUGAUAAGAGAUCCAGGACAACGUUAAAGAAAAAAAGCUAAACUAAAACUGUGACUUUCUUAGAUUCGUUUACCAUUCAAAGAACUUGAUUGUUGCAUGCCUUGUUUGGUCAAUCGGCACUUCAAAGAAAAAAAAAAUUCUCCGAAAAGCCAUAGAAUUCAUCAGAGCGUAAUGACUGGCAUCGUGAUGAUUGGUUCCACCUUUAACAACCGUGAAGCCUUUCUAUUGGACAAAAUGUUUCUUUUACGAACUGUCCGUUGAAAGGUUCUUUGGGAACCCAAAGUUAUUUAUUCUCUAGAGUGUACUGGGCUUUCUAAAAUCCAACUAACGGACAACUGUCGCAUAAAACAGGAAUAAUGUUUAAUUCACGAAAUCCAAAAGCAGAACCAUGUCCAAAACUAUCCGAUAUCGUUAAAUUAAUCCCUGACUACAGCUGACCCCAGGAUGAUGGUCCGGAUAUGUUUAAAGGCUGAGAUUCAGGUUAAUCUUUAGAGCAGUAAUUAUUGGCUCUGGUGAGUGUUUUGGAGAAGGACCAGGAAACAGUCAAAACCAAAACAGGAUACUGCGAGUCUUCCAGGAAAACAGUUAUCAUUUGGCUACAAAGAGGCUCGAAAGGUGAGGUCCGACCUUCAACUCGCAGUGAAUGUGUUGCGGACCAAUCGCUGACCGGGAGAAAUGGCAGAGACUUAGUGCCGCUGCGAUCUUCAGCGAAGUGUUUCUCUUUUGAGUGUGGCAGGUCUGGGUGGAGUCCAAGCAAAACAACAAAAACAAGAAACGGGACUUUGCAUGAAAUACCUUUGCAGGACUUUUGGAGCGAGACUUAUGUAAGAGCUGAUAAUGGAAACAACCCUGGGCCAAGAGAUUAAAGUAUCAGGAACCGGACACCAGAUCAUUACACAGCGAUGGGUGAAGAUCAGUCUCCGUGAGAGAAGUGUACAACCUCCAGAGAGAAACCUCUACACAACGCAGUCGAUAUCUUAUUGGGUUUAAGUACAAAGCACUGGGCUUGAAUUUUCAGUAGUAAGUAGUAAGUUCAGCAGGUUUGUAUAAAUCAUUCUAGAUAGCAUAGGCCAGGGGCUUUAAGCUGAUUUUGCUCCAAGAUCCAGACCAUUUUAUCCUAAUUGUACGUUAUAAUUUAUUAUUUCCAUUCGCUGAAGUUGAGAGCCACUGCGAUACGGGAACUUAAUCAAGCUGGGCUUUAGCCUGCUUUAAAGCUGAAUCUCAUUAUGAGAACAGAAACCACAGUAGUAAGAGGCAACACUUGCAAUUUGGUUCAGGAUUAGAUUUCAUAGCUCAUUCGUUCUUGUUGACAUGUGAUUACAUUCGCUGUGUGUUUGAUUGCAUUUUCUUAUAGGCUACAGUAGGUGUGGCGUUAGCAACCAUCUGAUUUGGUGAGGUCUGAAUCCGCUAAACUAGUCGGACAACCUGAACAUCUCACCUUUGAUCUUGCCACAGUUUCUGUCACACAUACCUUUGUGUAUUUUCUCAAACGGAGGCGUUACGAACCCUCCAGGGCUAAACAAACGACAAAAAUAUAUUCCCUUUUCCAUAUGGAUGCUUCGCCCUGAUAGACGAAUAACAAAUAUUUGACAAAGCCAGAGUUUUUUAGAGCAGUCAUCAUUCAGGACUGCGAAACCCCUUCGGCAUGAUUUCUCAGACCAGCUGAAAACACACGUAGGACAGGCGGUUCCGAUGGGCCAGUGGGAACAGACAGUGUUUUAUUCCAUGGACAGCAUCGGCCUGCUGAUCUAUUAAAAGCUCCAUUGUAUCUUUUCCUCCCCGACGCUCUUGUACAUCCAGGAAAUGCUUGUUUAUUGUGUCAGGUAAUCAGCUCAGAGCUGGAUUGAGAGAUUCUCUGUCGCAGAGGGCAAUGCCAGUAAACUGCUUCUGACUUCGGCUUCAUUCAUACCUUGUUUAGUAGUACUUUUUUAAAAAGAGCGUGACUUGUUGAGAAGGCCAGAAAUACCCUAGCGGUGUCCUAAAAGCUAAGCAACACACCCUGUUUAUCACCCACAACAUCCUAGUAACAUCCCUAAGAACCAAGCCAGAAAACCUUAGCAAUCAAAGACACAGAAGAAAUUUCAGAAGAAAGUAAUUUUUUUCCACUAUUUUUUGUUUUCUUUGUGCACAAAAGUAUUCUUAUCAAAUUAAAACUGAAACACAGUACAUAACACGGGCUGUGAGCAGUGACAGAAUUUUCAUUUUUGGUUAAAUAUCCCUUUAAGGCUGUGUCCUAAGAUCUUUCUCAUGUUAAUCAGAGUAACAUUAGUUGCGACAUAUUUAUAGUUUUUAUUUCCGUGGCGGAACAACAACACGCAAACUACAUGACAGCAGAUAGUCUCAGGUGAUUUUGUGCUUUAUUAAAAGCGAGUCUAAAAUGAGUUUAAAGUCCACAUCAAAACAAAAUUGGCUAUAUUUAUUUUGUUAGCUUCACAUGGCUGUAUUUGUGGAGAAACUUUCAUCCGUGCAAAUCAAUCCAUGUCGAUUAUAUGACUGAAACGCCUACUAAAAAGUAGAAAAAAACAAGUGAUGCCCUCUAGUUUCCUCAUUCGAUAUUCCGUUUCUCUCCGAAGUGCGUCACGGUACGUAUAAGUAAAAUGUCACAAUAAGUAAAAUCGGUCACGAACAUCUAGUUGUCACACAUUUAAUGGUGUUAAUGUUUGUUGUGAGACGCACGCUUCCGGUGAGAGCCUGCCUGCACGCACUUCUCAUUGGCUGUGAUUUUGAUUGAUUCUGUGAGCUGUGGACUGUCGUGUUUCUGAUAUGAAAUCCCGUCCCAGUCUCCGUCAGUCGGGCUGCUAAGCGACACAGAAAUGUCCCAGUCCAGCCCAAUGAACUUUCAGCAGCGACGCUAAGUUCAGACCGUUCCUCGUGCGCACUCACCUGAUUAUAUUCUGUCCUCGCUGACGCAUACGGAGGUACAUCGGUUGCUACGCACUUCGGUAAAAGACAUUCUGUUACCUUCUGACCCCUGACCCCUGGCGGACGGCUAGGGACGCUGGCGUGUGUCUGGCGCCGAGCAGAGGUUCUGUGUACACGCGUCAGGGGUUUUGUUGUGUACGACAUUAAGCUGAUUGGCACUAAUACUUUGUGUUCUGGCUUUGAGUUUCCAUUGCAGCGUUCCCCACAGGACAGCUGAUUACACAUGCCUGUGUGGCAUCUGAUUAACCUCCAAGAGCACAGCGCUCCACUUCCUAUUACUCUCAGUUCAUCCAUAAAGUCGUACCUUACAGAAUUUGCUCUAUUUACUGCGAUAGUUCACCCAAAAACUACAAUUCUGUCAUUAAUUGCUCACCCUCGUGUCGUUCCAAACAAGCAAGACCUUCUGAACUCAAAUGAAGAUAUUGUUGAUGAAGUCUGAGAGCAUAGAGAGCAAGGGAGCUGACGUUUUAGAGGCCCAGAACAUUGUUAAAGUAGUCCGUGUGACAUAAGUGGAUCAACUGUAAUUUUACAAAGCUACGGGAAAAAAACGAAAAUACUUUUUGCACGCAUGAGUAAUUAAUGUUCAUUUAUGUCGUUUAUAUUUUUGAGUGAACUAUCCCUUUGUAUUUAGACAGGCUAAGACUUCAUCUAGACUUUUUAGAGACCAUUUUAAACUUAUUAUUAUUAUUAAAAUUAUUAUUGUUAUU
Molecule: long non-coding RNA, 4886 nt
Organism: Puntigrus tetrazona (Sumatra barb)
Lineage: Eukaryota; Metazoa; Chordata; Actinopteri; Cypriniformes; Cyprinidae
Exons: 3
Source: RefSeq, a predicted model, not a curated record